UGGGGAAUAUUGGACAAGGGGGGCAACCCUGAUCCAGCCAUGCCGCGCGAGUGAUGACGGCCUUAGGGUUGUAAAGCUCUUUUCUCCGGGACGAUAAUGACGGUACCGGAGGAAUAAGCCCCGGCUAACUUCGUGCCAGCAGCCGCGGUAAUACGAAGGGGGCUAGCGUUGCUCGGAAUCACUGGGCGUAAAGGGCGCGUAGGCGGCUGAUUUAGUCGAGGGUGAAAGCCCGUGGCUCAACCACGGAAUGGCCUUCGAUACUGGUUGGCUUGAGACCGGAAGAGGACAGCGGAACUGCGAGUGUAGAGGUGAAAUUCGUAGAUAUUCGCAAGAACACCAGUGGCGAAGGCGGCUGUCUGGUCCGGUUCUGACGCUGAGGCGCGAAAGCGUGGGGAGCAAACA
RNAcentral lists this ribosomal RNA (402 nucleotides) under uncultured prokaryote. RNAcentral's name for it is "bacterial SSU rRNA". It matches the Rfam family "Bacterial small subunit ribosomal RNA", at positions 355 to 774 of the family's 1533-position model. The record is from RNAcentral.